UACAGAGGUCCCGAGCGUUGUUCGGAUUCACUGGGCGUAAAGGGUGCGUAGGUGGUGAGGUAAGUCGGAUGUGAAAUCUCCGGGCUCAACCCGGAAAUGGCAUUGGAAACUACCUUGCUGGAGGAUUUGAGGGGGGAUUGGAAUACUUGGUGUAGCAGUGAAAUGCGUAGAUAUCAAGUGGAACACCAGUGGCGAAGGCGACCACCUGGACUGAUACUGACACUGAGGUGCGAAAGCGUGGGGAGCAAACAGG
Molecule: ribosomal RNA, 253 nt
Filed under: uncultured bacterium
Lineage: Bacteria
Description: partial 16S ribosomal RNA
Rfam family: Bacterial small subunit ribosomal RNA
Source: RNAcentral